AUAUUGCACAAUGGAGGGAACUCCGAUGCAGCGACGCCGCGUGAGUGAAGAAGGUCUUCGGAUCGUAAAACUCUGUCCUCGGAGCAGCAAAAAAUGACGGUAGCCAAGGACGAAGACCCGGCUAACUACGUGCUAGAAGCCGCGGUAAUACGUAGGGGGCGAGCGUUGUCAGGAUUUACUGGGCGUAAAGGGUCAGUAGGCGGUUGUAUAUGUCAGGUGUAAAAGGCUAUGGCUUAACCAUAGCUGGCACUUGAAACUGUACAACUUGAGUGCAGGAGAGGUAAGUGGAAUUCCUAGUGUAGCGGUGAAAUGCGUAGAUAUUAGGAGGAACACCAGUGGCGAAGGCGACUUACUGGACUGUAACUGACGCUGAGUCACGAAAGCGUGGGUAGCAAGCA
RNAcentral lists this ribosomal RNA (398 nucleotides) under uncultured bacterium. RNAcentral describes it as "partial 16S ribosomal RNA". It matches the Rfam family "Bacterial small subunit ribosomal RNA", at positions 361 to 774 of the family's 1533-position model. The record is from RNAcentral.